RNAcentral lists this ribosomal RNA (828 nucleotides) under Triticum aestivum (bread wheat). RNAcentral's name for it is "partial small subunit ribosomal RNA". The record is from RNAcentral. Lineage: Eukaryota; Viridiplantae; Streptophyta; Magnoliopsida; Poales; Poaceae.
AUGGCGUGCAAGCGGGCCACCUCGCGGGUUCUCCGGGCGAUGUAUGACGACGAGCCCUCCUCCAUGUCCCUCGAGCUCUUCGGCUACCACGGCGUGGUCGUCGACGGCGACGAUGAGGACGACGACACCGCCACCGCCCUCCCCCAGCUCUCCUUCGUCGAUAACUUCAAAGGCGGGUGCGGGUCGGCAGCGGCGGACUACUACAGCUGGGCGUACAACGCCUCCGGUGGGACGCCGGGCGCCUCCUCCAGCUCCACCUCUUCGGUGCUCAGCUUUGAGCAUGCCGGCGGUGCCGGUCAUCAGCUGGCUUAUAACGCCGGCACAGGCGACGAUGACUGCGCGCUCUGGAUGGACGGCAUGGCCGACCAUCAGCAUGGCGCUGCCAAGUUUGGGUUCAUGAACCCAGGGUCGGCCGAUGUCGUCCCGGAAAUCCAGGAGAGCAGCAUCAAGCAGCCGGCCAAGUCUGCGCAGAAGCGCGCGAGCUCGGGCGGUGAGGCGCAAGCGGCGGCGAAGAAGCAGUGUGGAGGAGGCAGGAAGAGCAAGGCCAAAGUUGUGCCUACCAAGGACCCUCAGAGCGCCGUUGCAAAGGUCCGAAGAGAGCGCAUCAGCGAGAGGCUCAAAGUUCUGCAGGAUCUGGUGCCCAACGGCACGAAGGUGGACAUGGUCACCAUGCUCGAGAAGGCAAUCACCUAUGUCAAGUUCCUGCAGCUGCAAGUCAAGGUGUUGGCGACCGACGAGUUCUGGCCGGUGCAAGGAGGGAAGGCCCCGGAGCUCUCCCAAGUGAAGACCGCCCUGGACGCCAUCCUGUCCUCUCAGCAGCAACCCUAG